UACGGGGGGGGCAAGCGUUGUUCGGAAUUACUGGGCGUAAAGGGCUCGUAGGUGGCCAACUAAGUCAGACGUGAAAUCCCUCGGCUUAACCGGGGAACUGCGUCUGAUACUGGAUGGCUUGAGAUUGGGAGAGGGAUGCGGAAUUCCAGGUGUAGCGGUGAAAUGCGUAGAUAUCUGGAGGAACACCAAAGGCGAAGGCAGCAUUCUGGCAAGUACCUGACGCUCAGGGGCGAAAGCUAGGGGAGCGAACGGG
Molecule: ribosomal RNA, 253 nt
Filed under: uncultured bacterium
Lineage: Bacteria
Description: partial 16S ribosomal RNA
Rfam family: Bacterial small subunit ribosomal RNA
Source: RNAcentral